Nylanderia fulva is the source of this 1846-nucleotide RNA transcript. It is a transcript of the gene named TBC1 domain family member whacked, with no coding region annotated. Lineage: Eukaryota; Metazoa; Arthropoda; Insecta; Hymenoptera; Formicidae. The record is from RefSeq and is a predicted model, not a curated record.
UCUACUCAUCUGUCACUUUCGUGGCUGACGCAACGCAACGCGUAGCGUGUGCUAAUAUAUAUAUUGUAGCUGUGUAUACAAUUGUAUACAAUACAGCACAACACAGUGAGAGAGAAUUCUCGAGUGACUCGCUCGUGACACCCUCGAAAUGUCAAAUUCGGCGAAGAUUCACGAGGAGUAGGAAGAUGCGAUGGCUGCCUCAGGUGCAUCACGUAAUGAAGAGGAGGAGUUGAACGGGGAAACUGAAUCAGAGGCCAGUAGUAUAUACCAAUGUGGUUCGGUGAUCUCCACCGUACCUGAUCGUCAUGGAUUCCUAGGUGGUUCGCAAUACAGUCCUGAAAGGAAGCAAUCUAUACCACCUGAUGUGAUACUGCGAAGAGAAAGAAAAUGGAUACAGAUGCUGAAUAAUUGGAGCCUUUUCAUGACAACGAAUUAUCGCAAAGUCCGCGAGAGAUGUCGCAAAGGUAUACCGCCUUCCGUGAGACUGCGCGCCUGGUUGAAUCUUUGUGGUGGUCAGCUUCUAAUGAACGAGAAUCCAAACUUGUACGAAGAACUGAUCAAACGUCCCGGCGAUCCCAAAUACAUAGAGGAUAUAAAAAAAGAUCUUCAUCGUCAAUUCCCGCAUCAUGAGAUGUUCGUCGACAACGCACCUGGGCAACAAGAACUGUUCCAGGUCCUCAAGGCGUACUCCAUUCUGAAUAGUAAAGUCGGUUACUGCCAAGCUCAAGCGCCUAUCGCCGCGUUCCUACUGAUGCAUAUGCCAGCAGUGCAAGCAUUUUGGUGUCUCGUCGCGAUAUGCGACAAAUAUCUCGUCGGCUAUUACAGUCAGGGCAUGGAAACGUUACUGCGUGAUGGAGAUAUUCUGUUUGCUCUUCUGAAGAGAGUCUCUCCUGUCGCAUAUAAGCAUUUAAAAAAACAAAAAAUGGAGCCAAUUCUGUACAUGACGGAAUGGUUCUUGUGCGUUUACACGCGAACGUUGCCGUGGGAAAGUAUCUUGCGCAUAUGGGACAUGUUUCUUUGCGAAGGCGUGAAAGUGAUUUUCAAAGUAGGUCUGGUAUUGUUGAAGGGUAGUUUGGGUCGUUCAUCCCUUGUUAAGCGAUGCCCGACGACAUACGAAACCCUCCAAGUUCUAAGAAAUCCGCCGCAACAUAUCAUGGAGGAGGAAGCUUUGAUCUAUCAAAUUCAGAGGUUGAAUUUGAGCGAGGAGGAUUUCGAGUACGAGCAUCAGAGGCAAAUGUUGAAAAGAAAGGCAGCGGAGAAGGAAACUGUCAAUCGAACUGACUGACAAUUAAGUAUUUAGUUAGAUGGAAAUAUGAGGGGCGAAAUAUGUAUUUAACGUAUAUAACGCCCCAAUAUGUGCCUUCCCUUCCAUUCUUCUGAUACUGUACAGAAUCGUAUCUCUUCCUUUUCCAAAGUUGAGAGAUAUAGCAAGAAAACUGAUAGCUAGCUGUGGUGAAAUUCCCCCAACGGUUGCGUCUGUCUAUGGCAUUCAUCACGAAAGUCGUUAGACGUGGAAAAUCGUCGUUGUCGGCUACUCGCGCGUUAAAAGCCAAGUGCGGCAGUUUCGGUAGAAAUAGCACACCCAUCAUGAACAGAAGAGCCAUGCUGAUAAACGUGCCGAUCGCUACAAAGAGCGGAUUCAUAAGCUGCUUCUGAGUGUUCUCCGCAGUUUCCGUGGCUGCGUACAUUGGAACGAUCUGAAAAGAAAAUGCGAGCGUAUUCAUUCCCAAGUAGCAAGCAUAUGUAUCAGUUUGCUACUUGGGCUCUGAUUUUUAUACGAAAAUUUUGGUAUAAUAGAUUCAAAAUAUAGCAUAAUGAAGAACAUAUUUUUUAACAAAUGUUGGAG